CCUACGGGAGGCAGCAGUGAGGAAUUUUGGACAAUGGGCGCGAGCCUGAACCAGCCAAGUCGCGUGAGGGAAGACGGUCCUAUGGAUUGUAAACCUCUUUUGUCGGGGAGCAAAAGACGCCACGCGUGGCGUUCCGAGAGUACCCGAAGAAAAAGCAUCGGCUAACUCCGUGCCAGCAGCCGCGGUAAUACGGAGGAUGCGAGCGUUAUCCGGAUUUAUUGGGAUAAAAGGGUGUGCAGGCGGAAGAUCAAGUCAGCGGUAAAAUUGAGAGGCACAACCUCUUCGAGCCGUUGAAACUGGUUUGCUUGAGUGAGCUAGAAGUAUGCGGAAUGAGUGGUGUAGCGGUGAAAUGCAUAGAUAUCACGCAGAACUCCGAUUGCGAAGGCAGCAUACCGGCGCUCAACUGACGCUCAUGCACGAAAGUGUGGGUAUCGAACAGGAUUAGAUACCCUUGUAGUC
Molecule: ribosomal RNA, 459 nt
Filed under: uncultured bacterium
Lineage: Bacteria
Description: partial 16S ribosomal RNA
Rfam family: Bacterial small subunit ribosomal RNA
Source: RNAcentral